RNAcentral lists this transfer RNA (56 nucleotides) under Myzostoma seymourcollegiorum. RNAcentral describes it as "tRNA-Tyr". The record is from RNAcentral. Lineage: Eukaryota; Metazoa; Annelida; Myzostomida; Myzostomatidae.
AGUUAAUAAAUAUUAAGGUCUGUAAAACCUAAAUAGAAAUACAAUUUCGUUAACUA